CAGUCGCCGCGGUAAAACGGAGGGGGCUAGCGUUGUUCGGAAUUACUGGGCGUAAAGCGCACGUAGGCGGCUUGGUAAGUUAGAGGUGAAAGCCCGGAGCUCAACUCCGGAAUUGCCUUUAAGACUGCCGAGCUAGUAGGUGAGAGAGGUAAGUGGAAUUCCGAGUGUAGAGGUGAAAUUCGUAGAUAUUCGGAAGAACACCAGUGGCGGAGGCGGCUUACUGGCUCAUUCUAGACGCUGAGGUGCGAAAGCGUGGGGAGCAAACAGGAUUAGAUACCCGCGUAGUCCCUGUCUCUUAUAC
This 301-nucleotide ribosomal RNA is filed under the name uncultured bacterium. RNAcentral describes it as "partial 16S ribosomal RNA". It matches the Rfam family "Bacterial small subunit ribosomal RNA", at positions 509 to 807 of the family's 1533-position model. The record is from RNAcentral.